UUCAGGAAAUUGAAUUAUGCUUAUCCUGCCUCUGCUACCUUAGACUCAGCAUUAUGCUUUAGACAUCCAGCCUUAGAGAAUGGACCCCUGCUGACAUCUGAGAUGGUGUUUGUCUACUUUGGAGACCUCCACCCUCAGCUAAGGGAAAAUUAUGCAUCUGGAUUGGAAUGUCUCCAGAAGAGCUGGACCAGCUAUUGUAGGAAGUGUCACAAGUGACUGCAUCCAUUCGGUUAAGCCUCUUGCUGUCAGAGGUUCCUGGAAGAGCUCUUCUUCAAGGUGGUUCUGCAUUGUCCAGCUUGGAGGCCAGAAUGAUCAGUCAAUUGCUAAGAUGCUGAACUCUUGCCAGAAGUAUUUAGGUUGGGAAUUGCUAUCAUUUCUCACCAAAUAGAACUUGCCAAAGGUAAAUUUGUUAUGAGGAAAUGGAGAACAGAAAAAGAUGUGGAAGAAAAAUGAAGCAUUUUCUCCUAGAACUUGUCCUGGUGAAACCUCAGAACUAAAAGGAAAUUUUGCAACAGAUUAGCAUUUCCCAAUCAUUUGGAUUGUGUUCUCAAAUUUGUUACCCAUUUCUGAAAGGUCAAAAAGAUCAUACAGAAAAAUGUUGCCUUGAGCAUUUGGAAAAGAGAGAGCUAAGAAAACAAGACAUUUUAGGAAAGGUCUAAAGCAAAAUGAUUGGGAAAAGAAUUCAGGCAACAGUGGUUGGCCAAGAUAUAAGAAAGAAUGACCAUAGAUGGAAAAACUGGGCCAACAUGCCCACUCCUGGUCUCCUCUGGAGCUAUUUGCCAUGCUUGCCCCAGAAUCUACCAGUUACCUGGCUAAUAUCCCUUUGCUCACCUUCAUGGUAUGAAAGUCUUAAGAGUUAUAGAUUAAAGUAGGGAGGUUUCUUUGGAAAAAGUUGCAUGCUGAGUUGGAAGAAAGACGGUAGAAGGAUCUUGUUCCCCGAAACCCAAGAAAAGAAGUUUUGAGAAUCUCAAUAUUUGUAUCAUGCAGUCUGCAGAGGGCAAGCAUCUGAAUCACACCUGGAAAAUCCAAGGGCAAGAGCUGUCUGACUGCCCUGGCAAUAUAUAAAAGAGAGGUGACUGUUGGGGACCACACAGCAUACUCAGAUUUUUCUGGGGCGAGAAAUGUGUGUUUGUCAAGGAGCAAAUAUUCAUCACAUGCAAGAGCGGGAGAGGUGAGGAUCUGAGUCAUUAUUUUCAUUUCUAUCAGAAGAAACAGACCUUACAGAUUUUUAUUUUGACUUUAUAUACUAUAUUUUAUAAAGCAUUUUAUAUUUUAGUUAUCUGAGUUAUCGUAGUAUAAAUGGUCUGUCAUUACUUUCUCUGGUUAUCUAAAGAGCUAGAUAGUCACUGGUAAAAAGAAGAGAAAUGAAUGAAAACAUGGUUUUUAUUGUGGUAAGAUGUGGAAAACCCCCUCUCUUCAGACUAGCAGGUUCUAAAUAUUGAAUUAUAUUUUAGUAUUACACUAAUUUUUCUAUUUUAUUUUAUUUGCUUUUGUUUGUUAGAAUAUGAGAGAGAUGGGAACUAAAUAUCUGCUAAGUUUCUGACAUUACUCACUUACUAUGAUGGGCAUAUUUUCUGCAUGGACUUCAUAUCCUCAUGUUUACUCCAUAAUUAAACACCAUUAACAAAGAAUUUAAUUGA
This is a long non-coding RNA of Sciurus carolinensis (gray squirrel), 1640 nucleotides long. RefSeq lists it as uncharacterized. Lineage: Eukaryota; Metazoa; Chordata; Mammalia; Rodentia; Sciuridae. The transcript has 4 exons. The record is from RefSeq and is a predicted model, not a curated record.